Molecule: unclassified non-coding RNA, 271 nt
Filed under: Basidiomycota sp.
Lineage: Eukaryota; Fungi; Basidiomycota
Description: partial contains small subunit ribosomal RNA, internal transcribed spacer 1, and 5.8S ribosomal RNA
Rfam family: Eukaryotic small subunit ribosomal RNA (bases 1-48)
Source: RNAcentral
AAAGUCGUAACAAGGAUUUCCGUAGGUGAACCUGCGGAAGGAUCAUUAUUAGUACUUACGGGCUUCGGCCCAGCCUGGAUUGGCGUAGGAUUCCAUGUGCCUUGCUGGAAAAAAAGGGUUGCACUACCUUUGGGCGGUUGCAUACCCAAUGGCUAGGCCUUGGACUCGAAAAAAAUCUACCUCCGACUUUACUGUCUGAAUCUUUUGUUGUUCAUCUGAACUCCAAUAUGAAUUAUUUAAACACUUUUUAACAACGGAUCUCUUGGCUCUC